AUGAAGUGGUGUCGCGAAAGGGAUGGGAGUCCUGCAUUACAAAUUUACAUAUGUAAACUCAUGAAUGCCAAUAUAAAUUCUGAAUCCAAAUUAUUUGGCAUUUAUGCAAAUCAGAUCAGUGGAAAUAUACCAAAAAGAGGAUAUAUGCACUCGAGAGCAUUACCCGUAUUUCCCAAAGAAAAUAAUUGGAGUAAAUUUAAUUGCUCUAGCAAUCUUCACAAUCAACUUGCCACCUGGCCUCCACCACUUGUACACAAGGCUCUAAUAGACAAUAGCACAAAUAUAUUCAUUUCAAAGUUAGGUGGCCUGUUCAAGUCAGCAACCCAUCCACUUCCAUCAACAUAA
Molecule: ribosomal RNA, 345 nt
Filed under: Triticum aestivum (bread wheat)
Lineage: Eukaryota; Viridiplantae; Streptophyta; Magnoliopsida; Poales; Poaceae
Description: partial small subunit ribosomal RNA
Source: RNAcentral